Molecule: long non-coding RNA, 213 nt
Filed under: Gossypium raimondii (Peruvian cotton)
Lineage: Eukaryota; Viridiplantae; Streptophyta; Magnoliopsida; Malvales; Malvaceae
Description: long non-coding RNA (GRAI_LNC002605)
Source: RNAcentral
UUUUGUUGUUGAGAUAUCAGGUUUUCAAUAUUUGAAACCUUAAAUAUGUUGUUAUUUUAAACUACGUUUUGUAUUUGGAUUAGAUUUUUUAUAGGUGCUAAAAGUAACAUGUUUUAAUCUCAUUCUCAAUGCGUUUUUAGCUGAUUAUUCGAUGUUAAUAGUGAAUUUUAUGCUCCUAAUCCUUUAAAUUCAUGAUUUUAUACUUAGGAGAGC